CCUACGGGGGGCGGCAGUGAGGAAUAUUGGGCAAUGCCCGCAAGGGUGACCCAGCAACGCCGCGUGGAGGAUGAAGGCCGUAAGGUUGUAAACUCCUGUUAGAGGGGAAGAAUAGUACCGGUUGGACCGGUAUAUGACUGUACCCUCAGAGAAAGCCCCGGCUAACUACGUGCCAGCAGCCCCGGUC
RNAcentral lists this ribosomal RNA (187 nucleotides) under uncultured bacterium. RNAcentral's name for it is "partial 16S rRNA". It matches the Rfam family "Bacterial small subunit ribosomal RNA", at positions 338 to 522 of the family's 1533-position model. The record is from RNAcentral.